CGCUGGCGGCAGGCCUAACACAUGCAAGUCGAACGGUAGCACAGAGAGCUUGCUCUUGGGUGACGAGUGGCGGACGGGUGAGUAAUGUCUGGGAAACUGCCCGAUGGAGGGGGAUAACUACUGGAAACGGUAGCUAAUACCGCAUAACGUCGCAAGACCAAAGUGGGGGACCUUCGGGCCUCACACCAUCGGAUGUGCCCAGAUGGGAUUAGCUAGUAGGUGGGGUAAUGGCUCACCUAGGCGACGAUCCCUAGCUGGUCUGAGAGGAUGACCAGCCACACUGGAACUGAGACACGGUCCAGACUCCUACGGGAGGCAGCAGUGGGGAAUAUUGCACAAUGGGCGCAAGCCUGAUGCAGCCAUGCCGCGUGUAUGAAGAAGGCCUUCGGGUUGUAAAGUACUUUCAGCGAGGAGGAAGGCAUUAAGGUUAAUAACCUUGGUGAUUGACGUUACUCGCAGAAGAAGCACCGGCUAACUCCGUGCCAGCAGCCGCGGUAAUACGGAGGGUGCAAGCGUUAAUCGGAAUUACUGGGCGUAAAGCGCACGCAGGCGGUCUGUCAAGUCGGAUGUGAAAUCCCCGGGCUCAACCUGGGAACUGCAUUCGAAACUGGCAGGCUAGAGUCUUGUAGAGGGGGGUAGAAUUCCAGGUGUAGCGGUGAAAUGCGUAGAGAUCUGGAGGAAUACCGGUGGCGAAGGCGGCCCCCUGGACAAAGACUGACGCUCAGGUGCGAAAGCGUGGGGAGCAAACAGGAUUAGAUACCCUGGUAGUCCACGCCGUAAACGAUGUCGACUUGGAGGUUGUGCCCUUGAGGCGUGGCUUCCGGAGCUAACGCGUUAAGUCGACCGCCUGGGGAGUACGGCCGCAAGGUUAAACUCAAAUGAAUUGACGGGGGCCCGCACAAGCGGUGGAGCAUGUGGUUUAAUUCGUGCAACGCGAAGAACCUUACCUACUCUUGAC
RNAcentral lists this ribosomal RNA (958 nucleotides) under Kluyvera cryocrescens. RNAcentral's name for it is "bacterial SSU rRNA". It matches the Rfam family "Bacterial small subunit ribosomal RNA", at positions 34 to 985 of the family's 1533-position model. Lineage: Bacteria; Pseudomonadati; Pseudomonadota; Gammaproteobacteria; Enterobacterales; Enterobacteriaceae. The record is from RNAcentral.